AACGAACGCUGGCGGCAUGCCUAACACAUGCAAGUCGAACGAUCCCUUCGGGGAUAGUGGCGCACGGGUGCGUAACGCGUGGGAAUCUGCCCUUGGCUUCGGAAUAACAGUUAGAAAUGACUGCUAAUACCGGAUGAUGUCUUCGGACCAAAGAUUUAUCGGCCAGGGAUGAGCCCGCGUAGGAUUAGGUAGUUGGUGAGGUAAAGGCUCACCAAGCCGACGAUCCUUAUCUGGUCUGAGAGGAUGAUCAGCCACACUGGGACUGAGACACGGCCCAGACUCCUACGGGAGGCAGCAGUGGGGAAUAUUGGACAAUGGGCGCAAGCCUGAUCCAGCAAUGCCGCGUGAGCGAUGAAGGCCUUCGGGUCGUAAAGCUCUUUUACCCGGGAUGAUAAUGACAGUACCGGGAGAAUAAGCUCCGGCUAACUCCGUGCCAGCCGCCGCAGUAA
This 449-nucleotide ribosomal RNA is filed under the name uncultured bacterium. Its description in RNAcentral is "partial 16S ribosomal RNA". It matches the Rfam family "Bacterial small subunit ribosomal RNA", at positions 29 to 523 of the family's 1533-position model. The record is from RNAcentral.